ACACCGGAAUAUCCCACCUCUCUUCUCUUUCACACACGCAGUUGGUUGAGCUGAGGAGCUGUUCACUCGUGCCAGAGUCUCUUCUUCAGCAUCCAUCCAUCCAUCCAACACCAUAGUCUUCUUCGUGAAAUCCAGUUGUGUUUUGGGGAAAUAAAACAAAAGAGAGGAGAGAAGAGGAGAGAAGCUCGGGUGAAAGUGAAAGUCGUCGCUCCGUUAAUACUUCCUUCAAUCAUUUAUUAUUGGAAAACUUAUACCCGGAUCACAAUACUGACUAUUGAUUCGCGACGAAAAUAGAUAAGUGACCGACCGACCGCGGGACAAAAAAAGAAGAACAAAUAGAAAAAAAUCUACCAGUAUUGUCCCCAUCGUGAUGAGGGAGAGAUAAGGGUGACCAAAAAUAAGAGGGUAUGCACGAGAAAAAUUCUAAAAAUCAAUGAGCUUCCCAACCGACCUGCUUUGUUCCAAAACCAGUACCCGGCAAGAAAGAUGAGUGAGUAAAAGUUGUGAUCCGUCGUUUCUCAGGGAGUAACAGUAACAGUAAAGGAAAAGAGUGAAUGUGAAAGACAGAGGAGAAAGCAGGCGGGUGAAAGCCAGAGUCUAAUCCGGAUCGUCAGCUCUAUGAACGUACUAAAAACUUGAGGAUGCUGGAUGUAUCUGGAUGAGAAAGAGGUGACUUUUCACUCAAAAGUUUGUCCCAAGUAGUAUCAUCUCUUCCCUAAUUGAAUCCCGGGCUAGUUAGGAAAGACCGACUUCAAAGAUUUAUAACGGAUUAUCCUCUCUCUCAUCCCCACAACAAUUUGAAAUCAUCUCCAAACAUAAACUUUCUCCCCAUCAUUCAUUCACCAUUCCGCUCAGCACUCUGCCAGCAAUCAGAAACCAUUACAAAUUCGAUCUCUGCAACAAUUUUAUCCAAAAGCCACUUUACUUUUCCACUCCUCAGUCCAACUCCCCAGAGCCGGAGCGGGACCAGAAUUCGAAUCGUAUCGUAUCCUACCCUCUCUCCGGCCCUGCUCAGCGUAAAAUUCAUACCAGUGGAGAAAGCACGACUAACUUUCCCUGCUCCGUUUCCCGUUUUCUCUCAGUUGCGAAUUAGCUCUCGGCCUGCCACCACCACGACGACGACGACGACGACGACGUCCAUCGUCUCAUCUUCUCGUCCCACACUUCUUCUUAACUUAACACUCUCUCACUCAUUCACCAGACCAAACCACACGAGAAAAGUUAAUUCCGUGAAAAAAAAAUCUCAAAUCAAAGGAGAAAAGAGAUCUAUUCAUUCCUUGUGGAGAAAGAAGAAAGCCAGAAAGAAGACGACCAGACAACUCUGCCACCGUGAAAUUGGCAUUGGCAUCUAAUCAAGAAUCCUACACUUUUGAUACUUUCUCUUCCCCACUGACUUGUUGUUGUUGUCGUUCUACUCGUCCACAACUUUUUUUUGGUCCCCUUCUUUCUUUCUUUGAAGAAAUAUUUGCAAUUAGUGGGAGUGAGUGAUUGAAAUUUAGCGAGUGCAUUGAAUUCUUCACAUAUUUUUCUUUCCUACCAGACCAUCUUUCUCUCCCUAAUAAUAACUAAAUAUACUGUUCUAUUUAGUAGUAAGGAAACUGUUUCAUGCACCGUUUCUUGUCGUUGUGCUGAGUGACAGACGAGGGGAGAUCAGACCGUAAAGGAAAUGGACACAAUUGGACAAAUGUGUGGAUUUGACACGUUCUGAGAGUUGUUGUUUUUCCAGGCUAAACAAACCGCAGAAGGAGAAAAAGAAAAGUACAGUUCUGACGACGACGACUCUGUUUGGAACGCUCUUUUCUCCUGCUAAGCUUCGUUAGUGCGGGGUUAAAGGGGAAGAAAACAACAAAGAGAAUAAUUGCAGAAAGUGUAUGUGUAGCUACCUUCUGUCUCGCGUGGCGUGAUCCUCAUCCCUCGUUUCUCUCGUAAAGAAAAGCAAUUAACGGCAAACUUUUCUCCCCCUGAAAUAAUGAAAAGCAGCCGAGAAUUAACCCGGCUUGAGGGAAAGUGAACGUGAACGUGAAAGUGAGUGAGUGACAUGUCGAAAACUGGGAGGAAGGAAGUGUAACAACGACGACGACGACUUUAAUGCUGGCAACGUGGUGGUAAGAAGAUGUCUCCUCCUCGUGUCACGGGGGGAUGGGUGCCACGAGGCUGGAUCUUCACCUACAAUCUGGCCAUCCUCGUCAUCCUCCUCUUCUCCCUGGUGCACCAAGGCGUCCCCAAAUACAGCCAACGCACGGUGAAGACGGCGUAUGGAGAGCUGCGUGGCGUCGUGUAUCCCAAAGUGGGGAGUUUGGUGAAGGACGUGGAGGCAUUUUUGGGUGUGCCGUACGCCUCCGCGCCGGCCGCGUCGUUACGAUUUAUGCCCCCGUUGACCCCCUCGAGAUGGACGGGGGUCCGUGUGGCGGACAAGAUGGGGCCCGUGUGCCCGCAACUAUUACCAGAUUUGGGAAAUCGUUCAGAAGCUUUGUCGAAAAUGCCGUUGCUCAAGUUUACCAGAGUGUUGGAGUUGGCCAAGGUUCUCACGAAUCAGAGUGAAGACUGUUUAUAUCUUAAUAUCUUUAUGCCGCUGAAAGACGCUCGAGGGAAAGGCUUCCCGUCAUCGUCCUCAUCAAUAAACGGGGGUGACGGGGGUGGAGAAAACAUGGGCGGCGGCGGAGGCGGCGGUGAAAGUGCGAGUGGCGAGGGCGGCGUGGGCCUCGCCAUAGUGGUCAUUCUACAAGGGGAGUCGUGGGAAUGGGGGUCAGGAAAUGUCAUCGAUGGCUCCUCCCUGGCCUCGUACGGACACGUUAUGGUCAUCACGCUAAAUUAUCGGCUCAACGUGUUGGGUUUUUUGCAAACCACGACCCAACAAGGAAACUACGCUUUGAUGGAUGUGGUGGCAGCCUUACACUGGAUUCGUGAAAAUGCCGGCGCUUUCGGAGGUGACAUUAAUCGUAUCACUGUACUCGGUCACCGGACGGGUGCCGUCAUUGCAAAUUUUCUUAUGCUUGCCCCAGUAGCGUCAGAACUAUUUCACCGCGUCAUCCUCCUCUCCGGCUCCGCCCUGAGCCCCUGGUCUUUUCAACGCCAUUCGAAAAACAACGUUCGAAAGUUGGCAGAACAGUUGAAAUGUUUACGGGACAAGUCACCCCCUGGGGUCACCACCCUGUUCAAUCCAACCCAUCGAGGCGGCCAACCUGGUCCCCACAAUCUGAAAGGGUCCCCAGUUUCCGUCUCAGCCGGCGACGCCCUGCCCGACGUGGGACCUUGUCUCCGCCUCGUUCCUGGGGAUGAGCUUCUCGCCUCGAUAAACUCGGUGCUUCUCUCGCCCCGAUUUUUGGCCAGAUUUGGUCCACUCAUUGAUUCCUCCGUGGUCAAGUCGGACUUCGUGGCGGAAAUGAAGUUUGACAACUCGGGGCGCUUUUCCCGCUUUCCGCUGCUCAUCGGGACCUCGACGGUGGAGUCGUUCGGCGAGCUGAACACGGAAGACAUCGAGGACGGGCUGAGUGAAGGGAAACGUGACCGUGUUUUGAGGACGUUUGUGCGAAAUGUGUUUGUCUUUCAUUUAAAUGAGAUUUACUCGACGAUUAAAAAUGAGUAUACAGACUGGGAAAAACCGAGGAAAGACUUUAUCGACGUGAGAGACUCGAUAUUAAACAUACUCUCUGAUGGGCUGACGGUAGCUCCGUUAAUUCAAGUGGCUUCCAUGCAUUCCGCGAAAGCGAAUGCCAAGACGUUCCUCUUCCAUUUCCAGUACGAGCCGGAUUCCUCAGUUUAUCCAAAUCGGAUCGGAAGCAUUAGCGAAGACCUCCUCGAGUUUGCGGCAGGUCACGCCCUGCUCGACCAAAAGACCUAUCAUCAGCAACGGGAAGCCUUAAUGGAACCUAGUCUUCCCUCGUUUUCUGCUAAUGAUGCCAAAGUUUCAAAAUCCUUGAUGCACUAUUUGACUAAUUUCAUAAUUUCGGGGGAUCCAAACAGCGGGUAUGAUGGAUCAUCCGUCGAAGAUGCUCAAUUGCCCUUUUGGGACUCGUACGACCCUAUUAAUCAAUUUUAUCUGGAAAUUGGGUCCGGCGAGCCUCGAAUGAAGAGUCACUACCGAGGACAUAAAAUGGCCCUCUGGCUCAACCUAAUCCCGCAACUCCAUCAAUCCGGAGGAUCCGAUGUGGCCAUGCUGCACCACAAUUUUAGAGAUGAACGUCCCGAAUUCUAUGAAGGUGUGGUUCGAGAACAGUUGAAGCAUCAGACGGGAGAGGAUCUCUUGGCGUAUCCUGCCGCUGGUUCGGCAAUACUGAACAAGGGCCACAGUUCAGCCUCCUCCCGUGAAGGUGGUAAGCCCCCCGAGGCUGGCGACGGAGAAGGUGGUGGGGCCGCAGAAGACGGUGAAGACUACGGAGGUGGUGCUAAUAAAGGGGCCAUUAUGUACCCCACCCUCUCUCCAGCCGUCAUGUCCACGUCCGAAUGUCCCCCCAACACGACAAACUCCACCGGAAUGUUGGAGGGUGGACCAGGCACGGGAGGUGCAAGUGGUGACCGUGACCUCGUCCGCCAACUCGCAGCUGCCCACUACCACUCCUACGGGACCGCGCUCGGCGUCACGAUCGGCGUCGGAUGCUGCCUCCUUUUGCUCAAUCUUCUAAUUUUCUUGGCUAUUUAUCACCAAAAAACGCACACCCUACCGACGUCAGGAUCGUGUGAAAAUAAGCAUGACCAUAACGGGUCCCAGUCCGAUGAGGAGAGUCAGCUUCCCCUCCCGACAACCUUAUCCAGGCCGAGGUCACAUCCCGACUUGCGCCACGGGUUUCGUCCUCCGCCCGGCGGAGCGUCCACCUCCGUCCCCGCCUUGUACAACGAUGACGAAGGGACGGACGACUAUGACGACGACAUCGUCCAAGAGCUGCGGGAAUGCACGGGUGGCGGGCAUUCCAGCCAUUCGUCGACAUUUAGGAUGAAUCCGAACAAAGAAUUGAGUUCUUCCAGUGGUUUUUCGAGUCCUUCCAUUCCCGACCCGCCGCCACCUCCGAGAGCCGUGAGCAGUGGUGCCGUCACUUUUGCAAGUUUAACACGUGGAUCCGUCCGAAUUUUGAAGAGAGAUGAUAGUCGAGACUUUGGUGAAAAUGGCACGUGCUAAAAUAACUAAAAACCAAAAAUUGCCUACUCUACUGUCUGUUCAUCGUAUAUACUUACUGCUACUACCCAUUCAUAAUCAUCUCUCUUUUCUACUACUUUCAUCAUAUUUUUGGUGGUUUUCAUCGCCUUCAUCGGACGUUGCCACCACAGCUUCGAAAUUGAUUUCAUAAUUUUAUCCGCAACCCAAAAAUCGAUUUGGCGAAGGACCACGACCCCGGCACUGAUGUGGACACGGAAAGUGAUAAAUAAUUAUGUAUGUACUUAUGUACGGCUCCCUCUCCAUCGUCAAUGUCUCUGGACGUAGAAAGUCCUCACUUUCACCGUCAAGUCGGCACAUAAACCACAACCACUCCGUAACUAAUAAGUAAUUAGAUGGAUAGAUGAUAUGUAUGCGUCGGAAAGUUUCAAAUGUACAUAAAUAUCGAAAUCUGUCCGUCAUUAGGUAUGUAGUUGUAAGGAUGCGCUGAUUUAUCUAUAAUACUCUCUCUACCUUUGACAACUGCCAACUAUUUAUAAGCUAAACUAAUCACAACCUUUGUAAUACGAUUCUCGUUAUUUUGCUAUUUUAUUUAACGUAGGACUUGAUGACGAAACACCAAAAUCAGGACAUUUUUAGUAAUUUCUGCGCUCUGGGAAUUUAUUUUAAAAUUCUGGACGACAAAUUUGUUGAUUCAUAGAAUGGAGGUGAGUUUUUUGAGCCAGUUUCGAUGAGUUCCAAGUUUUCUGGACUUCUUAAGCUUGAGAUUUCUUUUGUCAAAUUUUUUUACAAAUAGGCAACAAUUUGCUCUAUAAAUUCGUCGUCCAGAAUUUUAAAAUACAUUCCAGAGCCGAGAAACGAU
RNA transcript from Folsomia candida, 5951 nucleotides. It is a transcript of the gene named neuroligin-1, with no coding region annotated. The record is from RefSeq and is a predicted model, not a curated record. The transcript has 18 exons. NCBI's taxonomy places the organism in Eukaryota, Metazoa, Arthropoda, Collembola, Entomobryomorpha, Isotomidae.